RNAcentral lists this ribosomal RNA (253 nucleotides) under uncultured bacterium. RNAcentral describes it as "partial 16S ribosomal RNA". It matches the Rfam family "Bacterial small subunit ribosomal RNA", at positions 524 to 776 of the family's 1533-position model. The record is from RNAcentral.
UACGUAGGGGGCAAGCGUUGUCCGGAAUCAUUGGGCGUAAAGAGCGCGUAGGCGGCCCGAUAAGUCCGCUGUGAAAGUCAAGGGCUCAACCCUUGAAUGCCGGUGGAAACUGUCGGGCUAGAGUCCGGAAGAGGCGAGUGGAAUUCCUGGUGUAGCGGUGAAAUGCGCAGAUAUCAGGAGGAACACCGAUGGCGAAGGCAGCUCGCUGGGACGGUACUGACGCUGAGGCGCGAAAGCGUGGGGAGCAAACAGG